This 100-nucleotide transfer RNA is filed under the name Agromyces mediolanus. Its description in RNAcentral is "tRNA-Leu". The record is from RNAcentral. Lineage: Bacteria; Bacillati; Actinomycetota; Actinomycetes; Micrococcales; Microbacteriaceae.
GCUCGCGAUCGCGGUGUUCCGCAGGGCGCCGCCGGUGAGGUCGGCGGCGACGACCGUGUACACGGAGGUGCAGGUGGUGCGGUCGCCGGCCGCGAGGACC